AAGACAGCAUGCAGUGUAAAGGGAUAAUAAGCAUAUUAUUGUAUUAUAAAGAUAAUUCACAAUUACAGUUUUAGACACAGAGUGCCAAUUAAUCCAUAUUUCUUACUCGUCUGGGUUUCAUAUAUUUCUAUAAUGAGUGACCAUACGGUGACCAUAACAGUAUCAGGCUACCACUACAUGUCAUUUCAUCAGAUUCUUCCUGUUAAAAUACUUUCUGAAUAACUCAAGGGGUACCCUAAGC
Molecule: non-coding RNA, 241 nt
Organism: Pelobates cultripes (western spadefoot toad)
Lineage: Eukaryota; Metazoa; Chordata; Amphibia; Anura; Pelobatidae
Source: the annotation of a GenBank genome assembly